RNAcentral lists this ribosomal RNA (450 nucleotides) under uncultured bacterium. RNAcentral's name for it is "partial 16S ribosomal RNA". It matches the Rfam family "Bacterial small subunit ribosomal RNA", at positions 29 to 523 of the family's 1533-position model. The record is from RNAcentral.
AACGAACGCUGGCGGCAGGCCUAACACAUGCAAGUCGAACGGUUGUAGCAAUACAGCCGUGGCGCACGGGUGAGUAACGCGUGGGAAUCUGCCCAGUAGUACGGAAUAACAGUUGGAAACGACUGACAAUACCGUAUACGCCCUUCGGGGGAAAGUUUUUCGCUAUUGGAUGAGCCCGCGUCAGAUUAGCUAGUUGGUGGGGUAAUGGCCUACUAAGGCGACGAUCUGUAGCUGUUCUGAGAGGAAGACCAGCCACACUGGAACUGAGACACAGUCCAGACUCCUAGGGGAGGCAGCAGUGGGGAAUAUUGGACAAUGGGCGAAAGCCUGAUCCAGCCAUGCCGCGUGAGUGAUGAAGGCCUUAGGGUUGUAAAGCUCUUUUGGCGGGGAAGAUAAUGACGGUACCCGCAGAAUAAGUUCCGGCUAACUUCGUGCCAGCCGCCGCAGUAA